UUGAUUAUGAACUGUUGCCUUCAGUGCUGGCCAGCUUCCACUGGCAAGUGCACGCUGGUGACUUCAAUCCAAUACCCUGUGCACCCUUCGCCUUUGCUAGCUUUGGCUGGUAGAGGAUAUUUACACCGACUCGAAUGUAAUGAAAUUAGUGUUGUGCGCAAGCACAAAUGUACAACUUUCAACAACGGAUCUCUUGGCUCUCGCAUCGAUGAAGAACGCAGCGAAAUGCGAUAAGUAAUGUGAAUUGCAGAAUUCAGUGAAUCAUCGAAUCUUUGAACGCACCUUGCACCCUUUGGCAUUCCGAAGGGUAUGCUCGUUUGAGUGUCAUUAUACUCUCACACUUCCAAUUCUUUGGAUUGGGAGCGGUGGACUUGGGUGCUGCUGCUUACCGUGGCUCACCUCAAAUGCGUUAGUGCAACCGUUGGUUAGACAUAGUACAGCGUGAUAAGUAUCUUCGCUGGCGCCUCCCUUGUGGAGGGUGGCUGACCCAGGGCUCUGUGCCUUCUAACCGUCUUCGGACUCUGCUGACAA
RNAcentral lists this small RNA (531 nucleotides) under uncultured Sebacina. RNAcentral describes it as "eukaryotic LSU rRNA". The stretch from base 174 to 327 matches the Rfam family "5.8S ribosomal RNA". Lineage: Eukaryota; Fungi; Basidiomycota; Agaricomycetes; Sebacinales; Sebacinaceae. The record is from RNAcentral.